Molecule: ribosomal RNA, 253 nt
Filed under: uncultured bacterium
Lineage: Bacteria
Description: partial 16S ribosomal RNA
Rfam family: Bacterial small subunit ribosomal RNA
Source: RNAcentral
UACAGAGGGGGCAAGCGUUGUUCGGAAUUACUGGGCGUAAAGGGCGCGUAGGCGGCCUGCUAAGUCGAACGUGAAAUCCCUGGGCUCAACCCAGGAACUGCGUCCGAUACUGGUUGGCUUGAAUCCGGGAGAGGGAUGUGGAAUUCCAGGUGUAGCGGUGAAAUGCGUAGAUAUCUGGAGGAACACCGGUGGCGAAGGCGACAUCCUGGACCGGUAUUGACGCUGAGGCGCGAAAGCUAGGGGAGCAAACGGG